UGCAUCUGGGAUCAGAAAAUAUUUAAUUACUGUUGGCAGGUUUAAACCCCUUCUUUGGAUUUUCAAAACAGGAGAAGGAGACAGACUCUGCAAAGAAACAGCUAUGGAAAGUCAGCAGCUCUCACCAGUCCUAAAUCUUCUUUGAGUAUCUUGCAGCUGAAUUUUGGGACCAAAAUAAGCUAUGCAAGAAGGACUUCUCUGUUUUCCCACAGUAUGCAGUUGCAGCAGGCAGACGGAGAUUCCACUAGCCAGCAGCCAAAGAUACAAGAUACAUAUGCAGAGAAGAUAACAAGGUUUUAAAAAAAAAGGAGUGCUGAGAUCCAAAGCUGGGUGAUGUAAAUCUGGAAGAACUCCAAAGAAGUCAAGAGAGUUAGCUGGUCUCCAGCAUAAGACAGCAGAGAUGUGAUGCAGUAAGGAAAU
Molecule: long non-coding RNA, 420 nt
Organism: Vidua macroura (Pin-tailed whydah)
Lineage: Eukaryota; Metazoa; Chordata; Aves; Passeriformes; Viduidae
Exons: 4
Source: RefSeq, a predicted model, not a curated record